UGCUGUGUCUCUUAGCAAUCCAAAGAGAACAUAGGUGUUAUCAGGAAAUGGAUGAAUCAGUACUCUCUAGAGACAGAAUUCAAUUGAAGAAAAUUCCAAGAUCUGGAGAACAGCUAUCAGUGAGCAUAAACAAUACUGCAGUGAGAAGAGGGAGCUGGGAUUGCUCAAGGCUCACGUGAAUACAGGAGAAGUUGGCUUCAGUGACAUCUGUUAUAGGAACAAAACUAUGAAUUUCAGCCAUUGCUUGCAGCACCUGGGCUUCCUGUAGAUGGUGUGGGACCUGAAGUAAAAUUUGAGGAUGAGAAAUGGAUGCUAUGCUUCGGAAAUCGGGUGCCUUAAAAUCUGGCUGAGACAGACCCUACUGUGUUAUCACAUCACUAUAGAGAGCAGGUUGCCAAAACCACAUGUGGAGCUGUGGGCACAAUGGUGAUGAAUGGCAGAUGGAGAACCUCUUUUCAAGUGCAUUUGGAGCAUGGACACUGUCUUGAAGAAAAAGAAAACAGAGAGAAGUACAAAGAGAGCUUGAAGAGCCCUGUGCUCCCAAAGGGCUGCCUGCCCCUCCUUUUAGCAGCUUUUGAGAACUGUGAAAGGAAAACUGGAACUGAGGUUAACUGGAAUUGUUACUGGCUUUGGACUGGAGAAAUACGCUUGCUGUGUGUAAUUCAAGAC
Molecule: long non-coding RNA, 669 nt
Organism: Manacus vitellinus (golden-collared manakin)
Lineage: Eukaryota; Metazoa; Chordata; Aves; Passeriformes; Pipridae
Exons: 6
Source: RefSeq, a predicted model, not a curated record